Molecule: non-coding RNA, 753 nt
Filed under: Dermacentor albipictus
Lineage: Eukaryota; Metazoa; Arthropoda; Arachnida; Ixodida; Ixodidae
Source: RNAcentral
CAUGAGUUUGAAACGUGCUGGUUAUUAACUGUAAUAUUAAAUUAAUUUUUUUUGAUUUUUUUGCUAAAUUUGGUUUGGUUACUGGGAAAUUUUUCUAACUUUUUUAUAUAUUUUAUAAAAACAAAUGAAUAGAAAAUUUAAUUUAUUUAAUAAUAAAAAAUUAUUGAGAGUUAGAAAUAAACUCUAGCUAAAUUUGUGCCAGCAGCAGCGGUUAAACAAAUAGAGGACUUCCUUUUUUAAUUUAAUUUAAAAAAUAAAUUUAAAAUGUAUUUAAAAUUAAAGGUGAAAUUUAAUUUUAAUUUAUUUAAAAAAUAAAAUUGAAAUUUCAAUUUUAAACUAGGAUUAGAUACCCUAUUAUUAUGAAGCUUGACAUUGUAAGUAAGUAUUAAUUAUAAAAGCAAAAAAUUAUGGCGGUAUCUUAAGCUUUUCAGAGGAAUUUGCUCUUUAAUGGAUAAAACACCUAAAUCUUACUUUGAUUUGUUAAGCCAAUUUGUAUACCACUAUUAAAAUAAUAAUAUACAAUUAUUAUUAAAAUAUAAUUUAUAUGGAAAAUUAAGUCAAGGUGCAGUAAAAGUCAAAGAGUGAAGUGAAUUACAUUUCUUUUUAGAAAGAAAACAUGAAAUUUAAUUUAGGAUUUGAAAGUAAAAUUAAAAUAGUAUGUUAAUUUGAAUUGAGCUCUAAGAUAUGUACAUAUCGCCCGUCACUCUUUUUAAGAUAAGUCGUAACAAAGUUAAAAUACUGGAAAGUGUUUUA